RNAcentral lists this ribosomal RNA (607 nucleotides) under Filobasidium magnum. RNAcentral's name for it is "eukaryotic LSU rRNA". It matches the Rfam family "Eukaryotic large subunit ribosomal RNA", at positions 74 to 669 of the family's 3401-position model. The record is from RNAcentral. Lineage: Eukaryota; Fungi; Basidiomycota; Tremellomycetes; Filobasidiales; Filobasidiaceae.
AUUCCCUAGUACGGCGAGUGAAGCGGGAAGAGCUCAAAUUUGAAAUCUGGUGGCCUCAGGUCAUCCGAGUUGUAAUCUAUAGAAGUGUUUUCCGUGCUGGCUCAUGUACAAGUCCCUUGGAACAGGGCGUCAUAGAGGGUGAGAAUCCCGUCCUUGACAUGAACUACCAGUGCUCUGUGAUACAUUUUCAACGAGUCGAGUUGUUUGGGAAUGCAGCUCAAAAUGGGUGGUAAAUUCCAUCUAAAGCUAAAUAUUGGCGAGAGACCGAUAGCGAACAAGUACCGUGAGGGAAAGAUGAAAAGCACUUUGGAAAGAGAGUUAAACAGUAUGUGAAAUUGUUGAAAGGGAAACGAUUGAAGUCAGUCGUGCUCUUUGGAUUCAGCCGGUUCUGCCGGUGUACUUCCUUUGAGUGGGGUCAACAUCAGUUUUGAUCGCUGGAUAAAGGCUGGAGGAACGUAGUACCCUCGGGUAAACUUAUAGCCUCCUGUCACAUACAGUGGUUGGGACUGAGGAACGCAGCACGCCUUUAUGGCCGGGAUUCGUCCACGUACGUGCUUAGGAUGUUGACAUAAUGGCUUUAAACGACCCGUCUUGAAACACGGACCCA